UAAUACGAAGGGGACUAGCGUUGUUCGGAAUCACUGGGCGUAAAGCGCAAGUAGGUUGUUAGGUAAGUCAGAUGUGAAAUCCUCGCUUUCAAGGUGAGAACUGCAUUUGAAACUGCUUAACUAGAGUACAGUAGGGGAUAGUAGAAUUCCAAGUGUAGCAGUGAAAUGCGUAGAUAUUUGGAGGAAUACCAGUAGCGAAGGCGUCUAUCUGGGCUGUAACUGACACUGAGUUGCGAAAGUAUGGGGAGCAAACAGGAUUAGAUACCCUGGUAGUCCAUACUGUAAACGAUGAGUGCUAAACGUUGGUCUUUAGAGAUCGGUGUUUGAGCUAACGCAUUAAGCACUCCGCCUGAGUAGUACGGUCGCAAGAUUAAAACUCAAAGGAAUUGACGGGGAUCCGCACAAGCGGUGGAGCAUGUGGUUUAAUUCGAAGAUACGCGAAAAACCUUACCAGGGCUUGACAUUAUAGUAGAUAUUGUGAGAGAUCAUAAUAGCAUUUA
This 500-nucleotide ribosomal RNA is filed under the name uncultured Thalassovita sp. RNAcentral describes it as "bacterial SSU rRNA". It matches the Rfam family "Bacterial small subunit ribosomal RNA", at positions 521 to 1021 of the family's 1533-position model. Lineage: Bacteria; Pseudomonadati; Pseudomonadota; Alphaproteobacteria; Rhodobacterales; Roseobacteraceae. The record is from RNAcentral.